This is a long non-coding RNA of Homo sapiens (human), 1299 nucleotides long. Ensembl annotates it as long intergenic non-protein coding RNA 2730. The record is from Ensembl. Lineage: Eukaryota; Metazoa; Chordata; Mammalia; Primates; Hominidae.
UGCACUGCCUGAGGCGGGUCCUUGAGGGAGUGCCUCCUGGGUAUUUGCUAGUGCUGAGUGCCCACAGCCUCUGCCCCCAAGUAAAUGCAGCUCCCUUUAGCCCCUUGAGCACAGGUGAUCUCUCCCUGCUGCCCUUUGAGAGGCUGACUACUGAUGAAGCCGAAACCCACCUCUCCUCUCCCUGCUCUGUUAGACCUGAAGACACAAAGUGGAAGGAAGGUGAGGAAGGCAUCAAAAAUCUGCCCAUCAGUGAGCUGCUCUGCUUCAAGGCUGCUCUGAUGGCACAGGGCUGAUGUGACUCCUGGGCCCGCAGCGCUUUGGGAAUCAAGCCUGAUCUUAGAGGUUGGCGGGUUCUGCUGACACUGUUUAACCUGGUGAAUAAUAAUAAAAACCUGGACCGGUCUGCUCAGAACCACCCAGCUGGGGCCAUCCAGGGAGAACACAGGGCAGAGACAUGCUGGCCUGAGCUGGAAGGCAGCUGGGACCUUGUAGCCUGUGAGAAUGACGUCAUCUGACAAGAGAAACCUGCAGAGUGAAGCAGAGCUACUCCACCGGCCUCCACACACUGCAGGACUCAAGAUGAGGAAAUGGAGGCUUCAAGGUCAAACCCCUUGCCCAGAGACAUGCAGCAGAAAGUGAUGAAGCUGAGAUUUGAACUUGCACCUGUCUGCCUGCAAAUCCCAUCUCUUCCUGCUGUGCCAGAGACAGCAGAAGGGCCCACGGCUGUGUAGAUGUGGCCUAUUAGCCUCUCAAGUCUAGAGCAAGCCCCUCAGUGUGGGGCCCCUCCCUAGCCGCACUUCCUGCCACACCUGUCCUUCAAGCAGCCGCCUUUCUUUAGAACCCCACGUCUACUGUGGUGAUCACUCUGCAUAGCUGCUUUAGAAACAUAUGAAGAUAACAGAAGGAUCUCAUCUGCAACCCAGAGCUCUCUGUGCCUGGUGGUGACUCCCAAGAAGCUCCCAUAAGGAAGAGGUCCCUCAAAGAACACACUGAACACAGUGGACCCUCUGCUGCCAAAACAGGCAGGGAAGCAUCUCCUGGAGCCUGCUUGGUCAGCUCUGCUCUCAGAAGCUUGGAGGGCAAACGGGGGUGACUGGACCCAGCUGGAAUAAUGGAAAGAAUGGGAACUAGCACUUAGAAGCACCUACUGUGUUCCAGAAAUUCUGGUGCAUUUAUCUGUGUAGCCUUCAAAAUAGCUCUGUUGGGUUGAUAGUAUUUUUGCCCCAUGUUAUGGUAUAAGAAACUGAGUUCAGAGAGGUUAGGUAACUUGAAUCAGGCCAUAAAGCACUUAAGCCCAAA